Molecule: long non-coding RNA, 1699 nt
Filed under: Anser brachyrhynchus (Pink-footed goose)
Lineage: Eukaryota; Metazoa; Chordata; Aves; Anseriformes; Anatidae
Description: lncRNA (ENSABRG00000021604.1)
Source: RNAcentral
UAUAUCCUAGAUCUCUUUUGGUUUUUGGAUCAGAGCUGAGGCAAGCUUCUUUUACAAAUUUGUGCUGCAGUCUACUAAAAGAGCUGUUCCCUGCCAGGAGAAUAUUACAUACAGUUCUGAGAAAAAUGAACAGAGUCAGCUUGUUUGAGAGCUAACUGAUGCUUACUCACAACACUGAUAAGCCUGACAUUUACUGAGAAGUGCCACAAUUUUCAGUCCAAUGAAAAAUCCCAAGAGGAUGGUUUGUGGUUUUUUUUUUUUUUUUCAGUGAUGCUUCACAUUCUAUUGACUCAGGAUAAGCUGGAGUUUUCUGAAGUAUUUUAGUCAAAAAAAAUAAUGGAGCCCAACUCCUCCGCUUGAAUUACAUACAGAUGUACUAGUCUUCCUUGGCACAUUUGUUAAUGAUUGUGAUCAGAAGCUCUGGCCUCAAACCGCUCUGGGUAUGUGAUGCGAUAGCCAGGUGUGCAAGGAAGACAGUAGCUGAAGCAAUUGCUGAAGCAUUAGUGACUAUCCUGGAAGUUCUCGGAAGUGCAGCUGAGACUUGCCAGUGUUCAGCGAUGUAUUCCGCGGAGACCUUGUCCAACAACAAGCACCACUCCUGUCUUCAGGCACGAGCAGGAUUUUACCUGCAAUGCACAGCAGAGGAGCCAGCACGUGCUGGCAGACCUCAGAAGCAAUGCAGGUAGGAGGAUGUAGAAGCACCCACUACAGAUGACAAGAUGAGAGCAGGGAGAGUACAUGCCUCUUUGAUUUGUCUGAGUAGGUAGAUUUUUUUGUGUUCUUUGUACCUUAAAGCCCAGUGGCUUUCUUUUCUCAUAACUACAGUUAAAGCACUUUCAAUCUGAAGGGCUUUUCUGUACUGAACCUUUGUCUUGUACUCGCACCACUGUAUCUCUUCAUUUUCAUUAGUAGCAGAUGGAGCAUGAGUCCCAGUUCUUUCUUUCCAUCCUUCCUGCCAAGAGAUCUCUGGUGCCUAGGCAUAUUUUGCGGAUACUUAAUCUUAUGCUAGUUUUCAUCCAGUGAUUUUGAUUAAUUUUAUCCGUGUACAUAAAAUUACUUUGUGAGUGACACUUUUCAUGAAAAAAUUCUGUUGAAAGUUAGGUUUACUAACCUGAUUCUGGUGAAAACAUUUUAUGCUUACUUUUUUCUAUUUCGAACCUCAUUAUUAUUUUUUUUGUAAUCCACUUUUAAUUGUAAGUACCCAGCAUUCUGCUAGUUCACGCGGCACCAAAUGACACAAGGUUGCUCUGGAGUGCUCCAGUGAGCAUCUUCUGGGGAAUAUUGAAAUUCCAUGGAAACAACAUGAGCACCAUUAUCUGAAACAGCCUCUUCAGGCAAACCAUAUGGGGUGAAAUAUUCUGUGCUGCUUCAAUAAUCCGAGCACAGAUAUGUUCACUGGUAACUCUGCAGUAAGCAUCACUCAUUUGCUUUGUCUGUGCAGUAUUAAUGAGCCAUUUCAAUAGACAGCAGGUUUCAACUAUAUUUGGUGCAUAUUCAUGUUGCUUCCUUCAAGUUGUUUCAAAACUCCUUCCACUAGAUUAACUAGAAAGUUGCAGUUACUCUGUCAAGUGCUGGGUACCAAGGACAAGGGCCGUCCUGUCCUUUCCAGUCUUGGCUGGAGAGUGGGGCUAAUGUUUGGAAGAGAGACAGUGUGCUAAGCAUGCUGCCUUUGCGGAGCACUCCUUCAGCAGGGAGGCUU